GACGAACGCUGGCGGCGUGCUUAACACAUGCAAGUCGAACGGAAAGGCCCUGCUUGCAGGGUACUCGAGUGGCGAACGGGUGAGUAACACGUGGGUGAUCUGCCCUGCACUUCGGGAUAAGCCUGGGAAACUGGGUCUAAUACCGGAUAGGAGCCAUUUUUAGUGUGAUGGUUGGAAAGUUUUUUCGGUGUAGGAUGAGCUCGCGGCCUAUCAGCUUGUUGGUGGGGUAAUGGCCUACCAAGGCGGCGACGGGUAGCCGGCCUGAGAGGGUGGACGGCCACAAUGGGACUGAGAUACGGCCCAGACUCCUACGGGAGGCAGCAGUGGGGAAUAUUGCACAAUGGGCGCGAGCCUGAUGCAGCGACGCCGCGUGGGGGAUGAAGGCCUUCGGGUUGUAAACUCCUUUCGCUAGGGACGAAGCUUUUUGUGACGGUACCUAGAUAAGAAGCACCGGCUAACUACGUG
RNAcentral lists this ribosomal RNA (465 nucleotides) under uncultured bacterium. Its description in RNAcentral is "partial 16S ribosomal RNA". It matches the Rfam family "Bacterial small subunit ribosomal RNA", at positions 28 to 507 of the family's 1533-position model. The record is from RNAcentral.